GAUGAACGCUGGCGGCGUGCCUAAUACAUGCAAGUCGAGCGAACAGACGAGGAUCUUGCUCCUCUGACGUUAGCGGCGGACGUGUGAGUAACACGUGUAUAACCUACCUGUAAUUCUGGUAUAUCUUCGGGAAACCGGAUCUUAUCCCGUAGAAGAUAUUGAACCAUGUGGUUCAAUGGUGAAAUUCGGUGGCGCGGUCACUAAUCGAUGGUUCCGCGCCGCAUUAUCUAGUAGGGAAGGUAACGGGUUACGAAGGCAACGAUGCGUAGCCGACCGCAGAGGGUGAUAGGCCACCCGAGAAGUUGACCAGGGUCCAUGGUCCUAAGGGACGCCGCAGUAGGGAAUCGUACGCAACGGGCGAAAGUAUGACGCAGUAAGGCCGCGUGAGUGAUGACGGUCUUCGGAUCGUAAAAAUGUGUUACUAGGGAAAAACAAAUGUGUAAGUAACUAAGCAGGGAUUGACGGUAACUGAUAAGAAAGCACCGGCUAACUACGUG
Molecule: ribosomal RNA, 497 nt
Filed under: uncultured bacterium
Lineage: Bacteria
Description: partial 16S ribosomal RNA
Rfam family: Bacterial small subunit ribosomal RNA
Source: RNAcentral